UAGGGAAUCUUCGGCAAUGGGGGGAACCCUGACCGAGCAACACCGCGUGAGUGAAGAAGGUUUUCGGAUCGUAAAGCUCUGUUGUUAAGGAAGAACGAGUGUGAGAAUGGAAAGUUCAUACUGUGACGGUACUUAACCAGAAAGGGACGGCUAACUACGUGCCAGCAGCCGCGGUAAUACGUAGGUCCCGAGCGUUGUCCGGAUUUAUUGGGCGUAAAGCGAGCGCAGGCGGUUAGAUAAGUCUGAAGUUAAAGGCAGUGGCUCAACCAUUGUAGGCUUUGGAAACUGUUUAACUUGAGUGCAGAAGGGGAGAGUGGAAUUCCAUGUGUAGCGGUGAAAUGCGUAGAUAUAUGGAGGAACACCGGUGGCGAAAGCGGCUCUCUGGUCUGUAACUGACGCUGAGGCUCGAAAGCGUGGGUAGCAAACAGG
RNAcentral lists this ribosomal RNA (429 nucleotides) under Bacteroidota bacterium. Its description in RNAcentral is "Bacteroidetes bacterium partial 16S ribosomal RNA". It matches the Rfam family "Bacterial small subunit ribosomal RNA", at positions 355 to 776 of the family's 1533-position model. The record is from RNAcentral. Lineage: Bacteria; Pseudomonadati; Bacteroidota.